Molecule: non-coding RNA, 1504 nt
Organism: Phalacrocorax carbo (great cormorant)
Lineage: Eukaryota; Metazoa; Chordata; Aves; Suliformes; Phalacrocoracidae
Source: RefSeq, a predicted model, not a curated record
CUGUGUUUACACAGGGGAAGACCAGCAGCUGCUCUGUUAGUGGAAAGAUGUCUGAAACAACUUGGUAAUUUUGCAAGGGCUGGCACUUCAAAUAUGGCAGAAGGAAGCAGCUGGUGUCCUAAAGUGGCUGUUGGAAAACUGCUUUUUUGACUCUUUACCUCCUCUGAUCAGGAUGUAAGUGCGUGCAGUGAAGUGGCCUGUUAAUUUGUUAUGUUAAAUACGCAUGUUGCUACGUAUUUAUUAGCGAAGACAAGGUCAUGGAAAUGGGCCUUACGUUUGGACCAGAAAAUGAGCAGGCUUUCCUCAGUCUGCCCCUAGGAUUCAGCUCACUAUUCUGAAUCCUUUCAUGCUCUGCAGCAGCAGGAGAUGAUAGAAGAAGGGUCUUCACUUGCAAGAAUUUAGUACCACAGACACCUGGGACACCCAAAGAAUCCUAAGCCUCUGUGGUCCAGGCACUGGACUUUUGACCUUUGUGUCAGGUCUCUUUAUGUUACCUUCGCAUCAGGUUACAUAGUUGUUAACUGGCAGCAAAUCAGAGGUGAUCACAACACUUGAUGAAAAGUAACAAAUCUAACCAUGAUUAUUUUGGAUGAUAAAGAAGUAAAACUGAAAAAUCUACAGGGGAAACACGCAAGAGUGCUGUAGAGACACCAGCAGGGAAGAAUGCAGAUCAAACCGCAGAAAUGGCAGAGCUAAAGACCCAGAACCUCUAAAUGCCCACAGAAUGCUCCUUUCAAGACUAACAAUCUACAGAGAAACAUAAUCACCCUGUGUGAAAUUAAAGCUCUUUCAAAGGGCUGCUUCUCUACUUCUCUUAACAUUGAAAUAGACAUCAGCUUUAAUGAAAGCAGAGUCUGACCAUCAUGGCUGUUGCUCUCCGUGAAGUCCAAGACUCAAACUAGCAAUUCUGAGAAUGCUCAAGGACAGGUGAAGCUCAGGUUUUUGGAUUGCUUUGUGACCUGUUAUGCGGGAAGACACCAAGGUACACGUUUUAAUCAUGAGAUGUUACUGUUCUCCAGAAAAAAAAAUCCCUGAACUUUGGAGCAAUACAUGAUCAUGCUUCUGACACAGUAAUUGCAGUUUUUAAAAAGUAGGCAGUAACAAAACUAAAGAAAUCAAAAGUACCUGGAGUGCCAAUUCUGGACGCGAAUUCUCACAGAACUAUUGCUACAACACAGGAAAACUGAAACUCCAUUUUCGUGCUAAAGAUUUACAGGAGCAACAUAGUUACUGUUACUCUAAAAUGUUUGCAAUGUGAAUCCAGAGACCGCUUCAGAAUGACCUCCUAGACAGACCCGAUUAUCCUGCUUCUCAAGUGCUCCACGUCAUUGUCAUCAAGCUGACUCCUGUGGCCCUCUUACCCUGUACUCUGCAGUCAAGGUGACUCCAGCAUGCAACAGCGCUCCCAAGCUUGCUUGGGUCUAGGUGCUUCACACAAGACUAGUGUCAUUUGUAGUCCAGUGUGGGUGGCACAUGUCUCUGGGAGUUCUUGACCACCUCUGCA